Molecule: ribosomal RNA, 431 nt
Filed under: uncultured bacterium
Lineage: Bacteria
Description: bacterial SSU rRNA
Rfam family: Bacterial small subunit ribosomal RNA
Source: RNAcentral
AACGAACGCUGGCGGCAGGCCUAACACAUGCAAGUCGAGCGCCCGCAAGGGAGCGGCAGACGGGUGAGUAACACGUGGGAACCUACCCUUUCCUACGGAAUAACACAGAGAAAUUUGUGCUAAUACCGUAUACGCCUUCGGGAAGGAUCAUCGGGAGGAUGGCCGCGUCCGAUUAGCUGGUUGGUGGGUAAGUGGCCUACCAAGGCGACGAUCGGUAGCUGGUCUGAGAGGAUGAUCAGCCACAUUGGGACUGAGACACGGCCCAAACUCCUACGGGAGGCAGCAGUGGGGAAUAUUGGACAAUGGGCGCAAGCCUGAUCCAGCCAUGCCGCGUGAGUGAUGAAGGCCUUAGGGUUGUAAAGCUCUUUCACCCACGACGAUAAUGACGGUAGUGGGAGAAGAAGCCCCGGCUAACUUCGUGCCAGCAGCCG